Molecule: transfer RNA, 63 nt
Filed under: Lytta caraganae
Lineage: Eukaryota; Metazoa; Arthropoda; Insecta; Coleoptera; Meloidae
Also listed under: 2 other names
Description: tRNA-Thr
Rfam family: tRNA
About the family: Transfer RNA (tRNA) molecules are approximately 80 nucleotides in length. Their secondary structure includes four short double-helical elements and three loops (D, anti-codon, and T loops).
Source: RNAcentral
GUUUUAAUAAUUUAAUAAAAAUAUUGGUCUUGUAAACCAAAAAUAAGGUACCCUUUUAAAACU